CAACAGAUUACUACAGGCUAAUUCCCCACAGACACCAGUCAGUUACCUUUUGCUUCCACAGGGCACGGCCAGCUUCUCUACUGGCCUUCCAUGUUUUCUACUUCGCUACCUACCAAGAAAGAUGAGCUACUCUGCUGGAUUGUGAAGAGCCUCACAACGGACCAAAAUUACUAAGGGAAUGCAUAAACUCAGCUCUUCUUUCUGCCUCCGUAUCCAUGAAGUUCGCUGGUUGUAUGUCCAGUGGCACAUGUGCUCUCAAGUUCACGCACUCAUCUCUGAGUUGUUCCCCUUCAUCUGGCUCC
This is a long non-coding RNA of Hyaena hyaena (striped hyena), 302 nucleotides long. RefSeq lists it as uncharacterized. Lineage: Eukaryota; Metazoa; Chordata; Mammalia; Carnivora; Hyaenidae. The record is from RefSeq and is a predicted model, not a curated record. The transcript is spliced from 3 exons.